AAUGAACGCUGGCGGCGCGCCUAAUACAUGCAAGUCGAGCGAGAAGACGUAGCAAUACGUUUGUAAAGCGGCGAACGGGUGAGGAAUACAUGGGUAACCUACCCUCGAGUGGGGAAUAACUAGCCGAAAGGUUAGCUAAUACCGCGUACGCUCCUUGGACUUCGGUUCAGGGAGGAAAGCGAUACCGUGGGUAUCGCGCUCUUGGUUGGGCUCAUGUCCUAUCAGCUUGUUGGNGAGGUAACGGCUCACCAAGGCUUCGACGGGUAGCUGGUCUGAGAGGACGAUCAGCCACACUGGCACUGCGACACGGGCCAGACUCCUACGGGGGGCAGCAGUAAGGAAUAUUGCGCAAUGGGCGAAAGCCUGACGCAGCGACGCCGCGUGGGGGGA
This 390-nucleotide ribosomal RNA is filed under the name uncultured bacterium. RNAcentral's name for it is "bacterial SSU rRNA". It matches the Rfam family "Bacterial small subunit ribosomal RNA", at positions 29 to 409 of the family's 1533-position model. The record is from RNAcentral.